CAGUCGUACCGGCGGAUAAUCAGCCUUUCGGGUGCGAUUCUGUGGGGCGUGAGGAGCUUAACCGCCUUUCAUGUUUUUGCGAUAUUCGUUGCACAUUUUGGUGUACUUGCUCGUGUGGUUGGUUAACAUCAAUUUCGGACGCCAUAAAAU
This 150-nucleotide ribosomal RNA is filed under the name Rhizophagus irregularis. Lineage: Eukaryota; Fungi; Glomeromycota; Glomeromycetes; Glomerales; Glomeraceae. The record is from RNAcentral.